RNAcentral lists this unclassified non-coding RNA (1514 nucleotides) under Hevea brasiliensis (rubber tree). The record is from RNAcentral. Lineage: Eukaryota; Viridiplantae; Streptophyta; Magnoliopsida; Malpighiales; Euphorbiaceae.
UAUAUAUCUACUUCUAUAUAAAUAUAAUAUAGGUAGAUAUAGAUAUUCUUGAUUCAACAAUCCCACCAAAACUUCAUAUGCAAAGAACCAUAUUUACAAAUAGUAGUAAUUAUUAACCUUUCAACUUAGGAUAAGCUUAUACAUCUUCUAUUGCUAAUGGUGCUGGUGUAGAUCUUCCUGCUCUGAGAGGGAUGAGGUGAGUGGCAUACUAAACUUGAAAGUAAAAUGCAUUCUCCCUUAUCGUUACAGCUGCAAGCAGUUUAGUAAGUUCUGAUCCUUUUGCGGCUCUUUUGCUACAUUCCUAUGGUAAGAAGUUGUUAAAUCAAAUAUAAUUUGAGUUCAAAGUGCACUUCUAUCUCACUAUCAGGCUUGAGUAAUGCAAAUUUAACCCAAUGAUCAUGAGGGAUUCUGGACCAGUUUCGGAUGAGUAGCAGCAUAUAUAGAAGAGGUCAUAUCUGGUUUCAGGUGGGAAAGAAGAUGCUGUAUAGUAUCUGGACGUAGACUUUCUGCUGCUCUCCCGCAUUGAGCCAGGACCUCUGGUCUAGGCUUGCUGUUAGCCUGGACAGGCCCUCCCUGCCCUUCAUAAUGGACAACAUGAUGAAGGAAGUCGAUAAGAUCUGCUAUUUCUGAUGCUUCAACAGGAGUUGAUGGCUGUGAAUUCCUCCCAAAUACAUCAGCCAUUGUGUUUAAAAGCAAUAAGAGGGUCUUAUUGAAAAGAGCAUGAGCAUUAGCAAGUCGUGGGAGCAGUGGACCCAUUAUACGGAAUGCUAUCCUCAACAUUGCAACUGAUGUUAUCGGUCUGAGAUGUUUAAUAAUUAAGUGUGUCUGUUCUAGCCAUUCCUGCGGGAGGUUACUAAAGAAAGCAUGUAGUAGGGCAACUAUAUUACCGAUGGCUGUUGAGGUAUUGUCCUGAGCAGCCCAUGUUGGAUCCAACAAAGCAUAGCCAACAGCAGAGUCUAGUUCCCCAAGUGAUCUUUUACCAUCAGUGAGCCACCAACUCUCUUUUAUUAUACGUGAUGCCUCCAUAUAAAGUUGCAAGUGAAAAUCAGGAGGAAGCUGAGCCAGUAGGAGACCACAAGCUUGGAUCAAUAAGCAAGAUAGUUGCUGGCAUGUAUAACCACUUCGAGAAACAAAAUUAGCAGUAUUGAUUCCUGAAACUGAAGGAGUUGAUCGACUUGCACCUAAGGAAUCUGUACUUCCCCCAGAAGGGGAUGUUGGUAAACCUGAUCCUUGCGCAACACCAUUUGGAGCUCCAUGCAGACCAUUGCUGGAUUGUAUUAGAGUUGGUUGAAUAUUAACUACAAUUUGAACUAGAGAUGAUACAAUUUGGGAAGCAGUCACUGGAAGUGAAAGUAGUUCAAUCACUGCUGUUUCAAGAACUAGUUGAGUAUAAGUUCCAGGAUCUUGAAUUUGAUAGAAUGCUCUUUGGCCCUCAGAAGUAUUUGUUGGCCCAGAUUGAGAUGUUGCUGGAGUCUUGGAAUUUAGAUUGCGCAUUGAAUUACAUAGACCAUCUG